Molecule: ribosomal RNA, 640 nt
Filed under: uncultured bacterium
Lineage: Bacteria
Description: bacterial SSU rRNA
Rfam family: Bacterial small subunit ribosomal RNA
Source: RNAcentral
GACUUCGGUGCAUUAGCUAGUUUGGUGAGGUAACGGCCCACCAAGGCGACGAUGCAUAGCUCGGCCUGAGAGGAGCGGACGUGCCACAUUGGGAACUGAGACAUCGGCCCAAACUCCUACUGAGAGGCAGCAGUAGGGAAUUUUCGUCAAUGGGGGGAACCCUGAACGAGCAAUGCCGCGUGAGUGAGGAAGGUCUUCGGAUCGUAUAGCUAUGUUGUAAGAGAAAAACGACAUUCAUAGGGAAUGAUGAGUGAGUGAUGGUAUCUUACCAGAAAGUCACGGCUAACUACGUGCCAGCAGCCGCGGUAAUACGUAGGUGGCGAGCGUUAUCCGGAAUGAUUGGGCGUAAAGGGUGCGUAGGUGGCAGAACAAGUCUGGAGUAAAAGGUAUGGGCUCAACCCGUACUGGCUCUGGAAACUGUUCAGCUAGAGAACAGAAGAGGACGGCGGAACUCCAUGUGUAGCGGUAAAAUGCGUAGAUAUAUGGAAGAACACCGGUGGCGAAGGCGGCCGUCUGGUCUGUUGCUGACACUGAAGCACGAAAGCGUGGGGAGCAAAUAGGAUUAGAUACCCUAGUAGUCCACGCCGUAAACGAUGAGAACUAGGUGUUGGGGGAAUAACUCAGUGCCGCAGUUAACGCA